This 440-nucleotide ribosomal RNA is filed under the name uncultured bacterium. RNAcentral describes it as "bacterial SSU rRNA". It matches the Rfam family "Bacterial small subunit ribosomal RNA", at positions 958 to 1398 of the family's 1533-position model. The record is from RNAcentral.
AACGCGAAGAACCUUACCUACUCUUGCAUCCUAGGAAUGAUGUAGAAAUUAUAUCAGUGCCUUCGGGAGCCUAGAGACAGGUGCUGCAUGGCUGUCGUCAGCUCGUGUCGUGAGAUGUUGGGUUAAGUCCCGUAACGAGCGCAACCCUUAUCCUUAGUUACCAACGAGUAGUGUCGGGGACUCUAGGGAGACUGCUGGUGAUAAACCGGAGGAAGGUGGGGACGAUGUCAAGUCAUCAUGGCCCUUACGAGUAGGGCUACACACGUGCUACAAUGGUUGGUACAAAGGGAAGCGAAACCGCGAGGUGGAGCAAAUCUCAUAAAGCCAAUCGUAGUCCGGAUUGGAGUCUGCAACUCGACUCCAUGAAGCUGGAAUCGCUAGUAAUCGUGGAUCAGAACGCCACGGUGAAUACGUUCCCGGGCCUUGUACACACCGGAGUA